GCGGGCGUAGUAUAGCGGUCAUUAUGUCAGUUUUCCAAACUGAAGAUACGGGUUCGAUUCCCGUCGCCCGCUCCA
Molecule: transfer RNA, 75 nt
Filed under: candidate division WS6 bacterium OLB21
Lineage: Bacteria
Also listed under: 1 other name
Description: tRNA-Gly
Rfam family: tRNA
About the family: Transfer RNA (tRNA) molecules are approximately 80 nucleotides in length. Their secondary structure includes four short double-helical elements and three loops (D, anti-codon, and T loops).
Source: RNAcentral